UAGUAGCGUAUAUUAAUGUUGUUGCAGUUAAAAAGCUCGUAGUUGAAACUUGAAUAUUUGCAAUUUAUUUGGUUUUCUAUUUUAAUAGAUAAACUAUAAAUUCAUAUUCUUCCUACUAGUAACUCGAUUCUGUUCUUAAUUGAAUGGAAUAAUAAUAUUUCGAUAUUAUCGAUUUUUAUAAUCAAUUCCACCAUCAAUAUGGAAUAGUGUAAAAGCUUUGAAAUAUUAUGAGUGGGUUCAAUUCAUUGUUUAAAUUGGAGUUCUAGUUCAUUUACUUUGAGAAAAUUAGAGUGUUUAAAGCAGCCUCUUGGGGCUCUGAAUACAUUAGCAUGGGAUAAUAGAAUAGGAUUUCAAUCAUAUCUUUGUUGGUUUGAAUGAAUGAAAUAAUGAUUAAGAGGAACAGUUGGGGGUAUUUAUAUUGGAUGGUGAGCGGUGAAAUGCAUGGAUCCAUUCAAGAUAAACUAAAGCGAAAGCAUUUACCAAGGAUGUUUUCAUUAA
This 498-nucleotide ribosomal RNA is filed under the name uncultured eukaryote. Its description in RNAcentral is "partial 18S ribosomal RNA". It matches the Rfam family "Eukaryotic small subunit ribosomal RNA", at positions 592 to 976 of the family's 1831-position model. The record is from RNAcentral.